Long non-coding RNA from Ochotona princeps (American pika), 525 nucleotides. RefSeq lists it as uncharacterized. The record is from RefSeq and is a predicted model, not a curated record. The transcript is spliced from 4 exons. NCBI's taxonomy places the organism in Eukaryota, Metazoa, Chordata, Mammalia, Lagomorpha, Ochotonidae.
AUUGUAUGCAGUUGAUGUGCCUAGAGAGGCAGCCAGAUUCCUGCUGAGGGGAAGAAGGCAAGAGGAAGAGUCCCAGCCUUGGGCCAAGGAACCUGUGAUUCCUGGCCUAUUCGUGAAACCAAGAUUGUCAUGAGAGACCAACCAUCCCAGCCUGGCAUCCGUGCAGAAUUCUCCCAGAAUUGCAUGAGGUGUACAGAUGCCAAGCCUUGCGAAGAGUUCCAGGGGCACAUCAGCAGGAAACUGGAUCAGAAAUGGAGCAACCAGGACUCAUACCAAAUGCCGAUAUUGUGGGUGGCUGCUCAAUUUGUUACACCGCCCUGCCAGCUCAGAACCAAUCACUUCAACCUAGUUUGGAAUUCAAAGGGAUCUCACCUUGCGUUUCAUUAAGAAUGGUUCAAGUCCUGGCUGCUCUACUGCAGAUCCAGCUCCCUGCUACCAGACCUGGGAAAGCAGCAGAGGAUGGCUCAACUGCUUGGAUGCCUGCAUCUACAGGGAAGAUCCAGAAGAUGCUCCUGGUUCCUGGCU